RNAcentral lists this ribosomal RNA (500 nucleotides) under uncultured Glomeromycotina. RNAcentral describes it as "partial small subunit ribosomal RNA". It matches the Rfam family "Eukaryotic small subunit ribosomal RNA", at positions 591 to 1092 of the family's 1831-position model. Lineage: Eukaryota; Fungi; Glomeromycota. The record is from RNAcentral.
CCAAUAGCGUAUAUUAAAGUUGUUGCAGUUAAAAAGCUCGUAGUUGAAUUUCGGGGUGAGUAGGUUGGUCAUGCCUCUGGUAUGUACUGGUCUCACUGAUUCCUCCUUCCUGAUGAGCCGUAAUGCCAUUAAUUUGCUGUUGCGGGGAGGUUGGACUGUUACUUUGAAAAAAUUAGAGUGUUUAAAGCAAGCUAACGCUUGAAUACAUUAGCAUGGAAUAAUGAAAUAGGACGUUCGAUCCUAUUUUGUUGGUUUCUAGGAUUGACGUAAUGAUUAAUAGGGAUAGUUGGGGGCAUUAGUAUUCAAUUGUCAGAGGUGAAAUUCUUGGAUUUAUUGAAGACUAACUACUGCGAAAGCAUUUGCCAAGGAUGUUUUCAUUAAUCAAGAACGAAAGUUAGGGGAUCGAAGACGAUCAGAUACCGUCGUAGUCUUAACCAUAAACUAUGCCGACUAGGGAUCGGAUGAUGUUAAUUUUUUAAUGACUCAUUCGGCGCCUUACG